AUGGCCACCUGCCUCUCUGAUCUAGUCAGUGACCAUUCCCUGGACUUUAUUGGAUUACAAGAGACUAUGAAGAAGGAUUUCACCCCUAAAUGCCUUAGAAAAAUCGACCCCUUUGGCCUGUUUCAUUGGGAAUGGAUCCCAUAUAUAGGAAAAUCGGGUGGUAUAUCCUGGGGGGGGCAUUAGAUUGAACACUUGGACCUUAUUUCCUGCUGUAAAGGUAAAUAUAUCUUGCAGUUGAACAUUCAUGAUAAGAACAAGAAGAAAAUCUGGGGUUUGCUGGUGGCCUAUGGCUCAGCACAUGAGGAGUACAAAGAAGAAAUUUUACUGGAGCUGGCUGCUAUGUGUGGCAACAUGAAUAUAUCCUAUAUUGUAGGGGGGGACUUUAAUAUCCUUAGGCAUGAAAAUGAGAAGAAUAAGAAGAUGAGUCAUAGUAGAUCGACAUAUCUUUUUAACUCCAUCAUCAAUGCACUAGCUUUGAGAGAAAUCCACAUUAGCGGGGGAAAAUACACUUGGUCGAAUAAUCAGGCUCACCCAACUUUGGAGAAACUUGACCGUAUCCUAAUGUCUGAGGGCUGGGAAGAACUUUUCCCAUUGGUGUCUGUUAGAAAACUGGUUCGGGAGAUCUCAGACCACAAUCCUCUCCUACUUUCAUCUGGUGAGGAGGGGCGUGGUGAAGGAAAUAUGCCCUAG
RNAcentral lists this ribosomal RNA (690 nucleotides) under Triticum aestivum (bread wheat). RNAcentral's name for it is "partial small subunit ribosomal RNA". The record is from RNAcentral. Lineage: Eukaryota; Viridiplantae; Streptophyta; Magnoliopsida; Poales; Poaceae.